RNAcentral lists this ribosomal RNA (223 nucleotides) under uncultured bacterium. RNAcentral's name for it is "partial 16S ribosomal RNA". It matches the Rfam family "Bacterial small subunit ribosomal RNA", at positions 112 to 334 of the family's 1533-position model. The record is from RNAcentral.
AACGUGGGGCAACCCUGCCCUAAAGUGGGGGACAACACGCCGAAAGGUGUGCUAAUACCGCAUGUGGACUAGUAUGGCAUCAUAUGAAGUCCAAAGGAUUUAUUCGCUUUAGGAUGGGCCCGCGGCCUAUCAGCUAGUUGGUGAGGUAACGGCUCACCAAGGCUUCGACGGGUAGCUGGUCUGAGAGGACGAUCAGCCGGAUUGGGACUGAGAUACGGCCCAG